GUUAAAAAGCUCGUAGUUGGAUUUCUGCGGGGACGGAGCGGCCGGUCGCAACUUGCGACCCGAGCUAGCGCUUUCCCCGCAUCCUGCCGCGAACCGUGCUACCAUUAGCUUGGUGGCGCUGGGGAUCGGCUCGAUUACUUUGAGAAAAAUAGAGUGUUCAAAGCAGGCCACACGCCUUGAAUAAGUUAGCAUGGAAUAAUGACUAAGGACUUUGGUUCUUUUCGUUGGUGUUCGGGACUGAAGUAAUGAUUGAUAGGGACAGUUGGGGCGGUCCGUAUUCCAAAGCGAGAGGUGAAAUUCUUAGACCUUCGGAAGACGAACAGCUGCGAAAGCGUUCCGCAAGGAUGUUCCCUUUGAUCAAGAACGAAAGUUGGGGGAUCGAAGACGAUCAGAUACCGUCGUAGUCUCAACUAUAAACUAUACCAGCUAGGGAUCGGCCAACGUUUAAUUUAUCGACUUGGUCGGCACCUUAUGAGAAAUCAAAGCAUCUGGGUUCCGGGGGGAGUAUGGUCGCAAGGCUGAAACUUAAAGGAAUUGACGGAAGGGCACCACCAGCCGUGGAGCCUGUGGCUUAAUUUGACUCAACACGGGAAAACUUACCAGGUCCGGACAUAGUAAGGAUUGACAGAUUGAUAGCUCUUUCUUGAUUCUGUGGGUGGUGGUGCAUGGCCGUUUUUAGUCGGUGGAUGUGAUCUGUCUGCUUAAUUGCGUUAACGGACGA
RNAcentral lists this ribosomal RNA (721 nucleotides) under uncultured eukaryote. RNAcentral's name for it is "SSU rRNA". It matches the Rfam family "Eukaryotic small subunit ribosomal RNA", at positions 618 to 1338 of the family's 1831-position model. The record is from RNAcentral.